This 223-nucleotide long non-coding RNA is filed under the name Homo sapiens (human). Its description in RNAcentral is "non-protein coding lnc-CREB1-9:1". The record is from RNAcentral. Lineage: Eukaryota; Metazoa; Chordata; Mammalia; Primates; Hominidae.
CAAUCCUUUGACGUUUCAUUAAUGAGAACGCAAAAAGUAGGUACAACUGAAAGCAAGAAGUAGGUAUAACUGCAGCAACAUCCUGAUUACCCAGAAUUUUUCCAACUUUUCUCAUCCAAUCUCUUCAAGCAACCCCCUUGCAUUAUUGUUCCCAUAUGCUCGACACCCAAGCACAUAGAGACAUACGCAUCACAUAAACACACAGAGGGACACACAUACACAC